RNAcentral lists this transfer RNA (90 nucleotides) under Candidatus Megaera endosymbiont of Nemacystus decipiens. Its description in RNAcentral is "tRNA-Ser". It matches the Rfam family "tRNA". From Rfam's summary of the family: Transfer RNA (tRNA) molecules are approximately 80 nucleotides in length. The record is from RNAcentral. Lineage: Bacteria; Pseudomonadati; Pseudomonadota; Alphaproteobacteria; Rickettsiales; Rickettsiaceae.
GGAUAGGUGUCCGAGUGGUUUAAGGAACCGGUCUUGAAAACCGGCGUGCGUUCACGCGUACCGUGGGUUCGAAUCCCACCCUGUCCGCCA